GAAUUUUUUAUUUUUAAUAUUAAAGAGCUUUGUUAAACUUAGACUUAAGUUUAGGUCAUUUUGGGGGUUUAGCUCAGUUGGCUAGAGCAUCGGCUUUGCAAGCCGAGGGUCAAGGGUUCGAGUCCCUUAACCUCCAUUGGGCUUAUGUCCUAAAUCGUAAUUAAGUAUGUUUUUAAGUAACUUUGUUAAAGUAAUUGUUGGAAUGUGAAACAGAGGAAGUUAAAAUUUCUGGGUUAAGUUGAGAUCUGUUGAUAUUAAGAAGAAUCUCUAGAAGCAAAAGCAAGCUUUCGAUAAAACCCGAAGUUGUUUCGCUAAAGUGCAAGGAUUAAACAGGAUUGUAUUUUCCAGUAGCCUAUUUUAUAAACGAUCUGCAUUUAGUAAAUAGUUUUUAGUUAAGAAAUAAUGUAGAUUGCUAAGUGUGAUGCCUGAAAGAAGGACAAGUAUUGUAGCGAGCCUAAAUCCUUGUUAUCGUUGCCAGUAUUUAGUGGUAGGGAUUCGGAUAAGACUGCCAUUUAUAAGUUGGAGGAAGGCAAAGAUUGCAUUAAAUCGUUAUCGCUCUUAUGUUUUAGGUUACAAGUUUGCCACAAUAACCCAAAAAAGCUAAGCAAAAUGCUAUAAAGCAGAUUUCAGUUUGGAUUUGCCCGACACUCAAUGGC
RNAcentral lists this transfer RNA (656 nucleotides) under Borreliella burgdorferi (Lyme disease spirochete). Its description in RNAcentral is "partial 16S-23S ribosomal RNA intergenic spacer". The stretch from base 63 to 136 matches the Rfam family "tRNA". The record is from RNAcentral. Lineage: Bacteria; Pseudomonadati; Spirochaetota; Spirochaetia; Spirochaetales; Borreliaceae.